Molecule: non-coding RNA, 838 nt
Organism: Cinara cedri
Lineage: Eukaryota; Metazoa; Arthropoda; Insecta; Hemiptera; Aphididae
Source: the annotation of a GenBank genome assembly
CUCGUACAUACCACGUUUUAAAAUCUUUGUAUCGAUACAAACACCAUAAAUGUGUUGGUAAUAAUUACAACGUCAUGACUAUGUAAAAAUCACGUAAUUCCAUUCGGGUAUAAUACAGGUGAUUUAUUUUGUUUAGAUUAAAAUAUUAUCUAUUUUUCGACAAGUUUUCCAAAUAUUUUUCAUACGAGAAUAGCUGAUAGUAUGUAUAGGUAAACAAGGCGAAUUUUGAUUUUUACAUUUUUAUUGAAAGCAUCGACGACUGUUGUGUGAUGACUGAUGAGUAUAUUAUAUAGGUUAUAGGGAAGUGGGUUUAUUAUAAUAUCACUGAAAACUGAUAUUUCCAAACUAAAUGUUACUUUACAGACAUAUACUAUGUGGUGAAUUUCUCAAUGGUGACCAUGCUAUACUGUACUUAAGGCAUUAACAUUAUCGGAAAGGAGGAGGUUCCUUCUUCAGCGAAAAUGUCUUUAUCCAUAUCAUCUUCUACGGAUUACUUGAUAUUAUCGAUCACAAAGCUCACUACCGUAAAUGUGUGUUUUUCCUCCUUAUGCACAGUUUUAUAUGAACGACGUGUUUUCUUUUAGAUCCUGAGUGGAACGAAGAAGCUUAUGGUUAUACAAAGAUGUUUAUUUUAUUUUUAUUUUUUAUCUGUGCGCAACUUUUCUACCAGAAAUCUCCGAUUUUUAAGUGAAACGCCUUUCAUAAAAGGAAAUCCGUGUACAGAGAUACUCUAGGGAGUUCAUUUUUCGAUUUUUUCAGAAGUUUUCUUAAUAAAUGAGAAAACCCGGGAAAAAUAUACAUUUUACGAUAUAAAUGUCAAAAUGUACGUGAAAUCCAC